UCGCCGGCUUGCUGUGGACAGAUGAAGUGGAUGUGGGCGUCGAUGGCCCCGGCCGUCAUGAUCAGGCCCUCGCCCGCGAUCACCUCGGUGCCCGCGCCAAGGAUGAUGUCGACCCCGGGUUGGAUGUCCGGAUUGCCGGCCUUGCCGAUCGCCGCGAUGCGCCCGUCCUUGAUACCGACGUCGGCCUUGACGACGCCCCAGUAGUCCAGGAUCACGACAUUCGUUAUCACCGUAUCGACGACCUCGGCCGCCGGUCGCUGCCCCUGCCCCAUGCCGUCGCGA
This 282-nucleotide small RNA is filed under the name Burkholderiales bacterium. RNAcentral describes it as "5_ureB_sRNA". It matches the Rfam family "5' ureB small RNA". The record is from RNAcentral. Lineage: Bacteria; Pseudomonadati; Pseudomonadota; Betaproteobacteria; Burkholderiales.